Ornithorhynchus anatinus (platypus) is the source of this 989-nucleotide long non-coding RNA. RefSeq lists it as uncharacterized. The transcript is spliced from 4 exons. The record is from RefSeq and is a predicted model, not a curated record. Lineage: Eukaryota; Metazoa; Chordata; Mammalia; Monotremata; Ornithorhynchidae.
CCCCAUGUUCCCCCUGCUUGCAUUCUUCCUACCCCAAUGGCGCAGGCGGGAGUGACGCCUCAGGAUGGCAUAGAAGCAGCAGAAGAAAUGUAAUGAAGAGGUGAUCCAGGCUCCUGGAUUAAUGACAUAAGACUAGAGGAGAAACAGAGGAGCAAAAGAGGGUGGUGUUGAAGCAUCGACAUGUUCAUCAGGAGAAGGUGGCGAUUUAGCAGUUCCCAGAUGGGACGGAUUCCACAAAUGCUGAGCUGCAAUUAGCGAGUCAUUAAAGCGUUUGUCCGGUGGUGAAUGGGCGAGAGCUAUCAAGUCGCUAAGUUGUUGAUGGGUGAUUGUUGACGCGUUGGUAUCAUUUGGAGGACCAGUAAUCCUUGAGCUGGCCUGGGGGUGGUAAGGAGCAUUAACCUUAUGCUUUUAAAAGGAUUAGAUUCCAUAGAAGAAAUGUACCACACACACAAACUAUAAUUAGCCUGAUGUGGAGCGCAAGAAUUGGUAAGUUUCCUAAAAAGAAAAAGAAAAUCUAUCCAAGAAAAGAUAACCUUGUUGAAAACAAACAAAAAUGAAAGGUAAGGCUCCACAGUGGGAGGAUUUGAGUAGAAGUCUGAGGACCAGACUAUCAUUUCGGUUCAAAGCAAAAAGAACUUUUUUGUGUGUGUGUGACAAUCACCUUGAGCCCCCAAAAAGGCAGAGAAUGAAUUUAGAAAUUUUACCUAUCACCCCUCAGUCAUUGGGUCAGAUACAGCAUUCCUAUUCAGAAAGUUCAUCAUUUAAAUUCACUUUAGGUAAUGAGGAGGAAAAUGCAUUUGUUCAAGGCCUGGAAGAAAUGGAGCUAAAGACAAAUCAAAAGUUUAAUAAAGCUUUGAGUCAUGUCCCUUCAUACAAUUUUCUGAACUCACUCCAGCCACUGGCACUCUGUAAAUGCUUCUUUACUCUGGUGAUGUCUGGAAUACCUAAUAAAGACAGACCUUACUAGACAAACAUUUGGAAAGCUAGUC